Molecule: non-coding RNA, 117 nt
Filed under: Homo sapiens (human)
Lineage: Eukaryota; Metazoa; Chordata; Mammalia; Primates; Hominidae
Source: Rfam by way of RNAcentral
GCCAGGCAUGAUGGCUCAUGCCUGUAAUCCCAGCACUUUGGGAGGCCGAGGCAGGUGGAUCACUUGAGGCCAGGAGAUCGAGACCAGCCUGGCCAACAUGGUGAAACCCUGUCUCUA